Haemonchus contortus (barber pole worm) is the source of this 75-nucleotide non-coding RNA. NCBI's taxonomy places the organism in Eukaryota, Metazoa, Nematoda, Chromadorea, Rhabditida, Trichostrongylidae. The record is from Rfam.
GGCCCAAAUGUGAAGUUGAUCAGAUUAGAAGGAUCAUCUGACUCUACUAAACUGCUCUACUUUGAGUUUGUGCCC